GGAAUACUCCCUCCAUCCCAAAAUUUUUGUUUUAGAUUUGUUUAGAUAUGAAUGUAUCUAGUCAUGUCUUAGUAUUUUGAUACAUCCAUUUCUAAAAAACCUAUGACAAGAAUUUUAGGACGAAGGGAGUAUAUU
Molecule: microRNA precursor, 135 nt
Filed under: Hordeum vulgare
Lineage: Eukaryota; Viridiplantae; Streptophyta; Magnoliopsida; Poales; Poaceae
Description: microRNA MIR1122
Rfam family: MIR1120/MIR1122 microRNA precursor family
Source: RNAcentral